UGAAACUGCGAAUGGCUCAUUACAUCAGUUAUAGUUUAUUUGAUAUUUGAAAGUUACAUGGAUAACCGUGGCAAUUCUACAGCUAAUACAUGCUUCAAAACCUGACUUCGGAAGGGUUGUAUUUAUUAGAUAUUAAACCAUCCCCUCGGGGCUGUGAUGAAUCAUAAUAACUGAUCGAAUCGAGGUUCGCCUUGAUAAAUCAUUCAAGUUUCUGCCCUAUCAGCUGUAGAUGGUAGUGUAUUGGACUACCAUGGCUAUUACGGGUAACGGAGAAUUAGGGUUCGAUUCCGGAGAGGGAGCCUGAGAAACGGCUACCACAUCUACGGAUGGCAGCAGGCGCGAAAAUUGCCCAAUCCCGAUUCGGGGAGGCAGUGACAAAAAAUAACAACCCAGAACAUUGUUUCCGGGAUUGCAAUGAGAACAAUUUAAAAACCUUAUCGAGUACCAACUGGAGGGCAAGUUCUGGUGCCAGCAGCCGCGGUAAUUCCGGCUCCAGUAGCGUAUAUUAAAGUUGCUGCAGUUAAAAAGCUCGUAGUUGAAUUUCUGUUCGUAAGAGUCGAAGCUUUACAGCUAAGAUUUCUUCGAACAUCUGUUUGCAAGCAUACGUUCGGCCUUCACUGGUUGGCUAUGUAAGCAAGCGCUUUACCUUGAGAA
This 654-nucleotide ribosomal RNA is filed under the name uncultured eukaryote. RNAcentral's name for it is "SSU rRNA". It matches the Rfam family "Eukaryotic small subunit ribosomal RNA", at positions 82 to 763 of the family's 1831-position model. The record is from RNAcentral.